AAUGAACGCUGGCGGCGGGCCUAAUACAUGCAAGUCGAGCGACCAUACAAGAAGCUCUCUCCCCUGCCGUUAGCGGCGGACGGGCGGGUAACAAAUGCAUAAGCUUCCUCUACGACGGUGAUAACUUCGGUAAACCGGAGCCACUACCGGCUCAUAUAUCUAACCGCAUAGUUCAAUAGUGCACGACGCUUUUGCUGACAUUUUUAGCUGGUUCCGCGCCGCAUUAGCUAGUUGGUAAGGUCACGGCUUACCAAGGCAGCGAUGCGUAGCUGACCUGAGAGGGUGAUCAGCCACACUGGAACUGAGACACGGUCCAGACUCCUACGGGAGGCAGCAGUAGGGAAUCUUCCACAAUGGGCGAAAGCCUGAUGGAGCAACGCCGCGUGAGUGAUGAAGGUCUUCGGAUUGUAAAACUCUGUUGUUAGGGAAGAAAAAAUGUGUAAGUAUCUAUGCACGUCUUGACGGUACCUAAUGAGAAAGCCCCGGCUAACUACGUG
This 497-nucleotide ribosomal RNA is filed under the name uncultured bacterium. Its description in RNAcentral is "partial 16S ribosomal RNA". It matches the Rfam family "Bacterial small subunit ribosomal RNA", at positions 29 to 507 of the family's 1533-position model. The record is from RNAcentral.